Molecule: unclassified non-coding RNA, 507 nt
Filed under: Hevea brasiliensis (rubber tree)
Lineage: Eukaryota; Viridiplantae; Streptophyta; Magnoliopsida; Malpighiales; Euphorbiaceae
Source: RNAcentral
AAGAAGCUUGUGAUGAUGCUUGCAGUAUAUGCCUUGAGGAUUUUUGUGAAAGUGAUCCUUCUACGGUUACUGCUUGCAAGCAUGAGUUUCACCUCCAGUGCAUCCUUGAGUGGUGCCAGAGAAGCUCUCAAUGCCCUAUGUGCUGGCAAUCUAUCAGCCUGAAGGACCCCACCAGUCAAGAGCUGCUGGAGGCGGUUGAACGAGAGAGGAAUAUAAGGGCUACUCCAGUGAGAAAUACUGCUGUGUUUCAUCAUCCAGCUCUUGGCAAUUUCGAGUUGCAACAUCUACCUCUGGGUGUUAAUAAUGCCGAGCUUGAAGAGCGAAUAAUUCAACACCUGGCUGCAGCUGCUGCAAUGGGGAGGACACACCAUAUUGGUAGAAGAGAAGGGAGGAGUAGGUCAUCAUCUCAUGGACGUCCUCACUUCUUGGUUUUCUCCACUCAUCCUGGUGGGCCUCCUGAGCAUGUCUCAGCCUCUGGAGUAGACACUGAGCCAGCUGGUAUUACUG